AAAUUGAAGAGUUUGAUCAUGGCUCAGAUUGAACGCUGGCGGCAGGCCUAACACAUGCAAGUCGAACGGUAACAGGAAGCAGCUUGCUGCUUUGCUGACGAGUGGCGGACGGGUGAGUAAUGUCUGGGAAACUGCCCGAUGGAGGGGGAUAACUACUGGAAACGGUGGCUAAUACCGCAUAACGUCGCAAGACCAAAGAGGGGGACCUUCGGGCCUCUUGCCAUCAGAUGUGCCCAGAUGGGAUUAGCUU
RNAcentral lists this ribosomal RNA (250 nucleotides) under Salmonella enterica subsp. enterica serovar Schwarzengrund. Its description in RNAcentral is "partial 16S ribosomal RNA". It matches the Rfam family "Bacterial small subunit ribosomal RNA", at positions 1 to 247 of the family's 1533-position model. The record is from RNAcentral. Lineage: Bacteria; Pseudomonadati; Pseudomonadota; Gammaproteobacteria; Enterobacterales; Enterobacteriaceae.